Molecule: ribosomal RNA, 408 nt
Filed under: uncultured bacterium
Lineage: Bacteria
Description: bacterial SSU rRNA
Rfam family: Bacterial small subunit ribosomal RNA
Source: RNAcentral
CGAUUGUGCCAGCAGCCGCGGUAAUACAGAGGGUGCAAGCGUUAAUCGGAAUUAUUGGGCGUAAAGCGCGUGUAGGCGGUUUUUUAAGUCUGAUGUGAAAGCCCUGGGCUCAACCCGGGAAGUGCAUUGGAUACUGGAAGACUUGAAUACGGGAGAGGGCAGUGGAAUUCCUAGUGUAGGAGUGAAAUCCGUAGAUAUUAGGAGGAACACCGGUGGCGAAGGCGGCUGCCUGGACCGAUAUUGACGCUGAGACGCGAAAGCGUGGGUAGCAAACAGGAUUAGAUACCCUGGUAGUCCACGCCGUAAACGAUGAGAACUAGGUGUUGCGGGUAUUGACCCCUGCAGUGCCGUAGCUAACGCAUUAAGUUCUCCGCCUGGGAAGUACGGUCGCAAGACUAAACUCAAGAA